RNAcentral lists this ribosomal RNA (253 nucleotides) under uncultured bacterium. Its description in RNAcentral is "partial 16S ribosomal RNA". It matches the Rfam family "Bacterial small subunit ribosomal RNA", at positions 524 to 776 of the family's 1533-position model. The record is from RNAcentral.
UACAGAGGGGGCAAGCGUUGUUCGGAAUUACUGGGCGUAAAGGGCGCGUAGGCGGCCCGCUAAGUCGAACGUGAAAUCCCCGGGCUCAACCCGGGAACUGCGUCCGAUACUGGCAGGCUAGAGUAUGGGAGAGGGAUGUAGAAUUCCAGGUGUAGCGGUGAAAUGCGUAGAUAUCUGGAGGAAUACCGGUGGCGAAGGCGGCAUCCUGGACCAUUACUGACGCUGAGGCGCGAAAGCUAGGGGAGCAAACGGG